This 2798-nucleotide long non-coding RNA is filed under the name Brassica napus (rape). Its description in RNAcentral is "long non-coding RNA (BNAP_LNC008239)". Lineage: Eukaryota; Viridiplantae; Streptophyta; Magnoliopsida; Brassicales; Brassicaceae. The record is from RNAcentral.
CGCAAAUAGAAACACGAAGCUUACGGCUAAGAAGAAGUCCAUGGACAUGCUCAAGAAGAGACUCAAGGAAUUUAACUGAUGCUAUAUAAGUAAGCAUUACUGCUGCACUAAUAAGACCAAACCUUCCCACUCACAUCAUCAUUAUCACCAUUUAGUUUCACUAUUCCCUUAAUUUGCCUGUUUCUGGUUAGCCUCUAGUUUGUUUUCUUUUGAUGUCUUCAUUAUGUUCUUUGACGAACCAUUUUAUUAAUCAAUUUCAGUUUUGUCCUAAUUGACAAAUCUUCUACAUGGCUUCUUACUCAAUCUUCGACUCUUUGUAUGAUUGAUCUUGUGCAGGAGUCAAUAGUCUAAGCGAAAAACUUCUAGCUUUAGUAUCUAAUUUGACAAAAAAAACAAAAGUUGCAACCUUUGUUACUACAUUGACUCCAGCACAGGGGAUUGGAGGGUAUUUUCUGUGAUGAGUUAUGCAAUAGAAGAAUGUGUUGUGUGGAAAGUUUCUUUUGUCUUCUAAUUUGCCAUAUCCAAAACGUGAACACGUCUCUCAUUUCGACAUGGAGAAUCUUGCAUGCCUCUCCUACAUUCACAUCUUCAGUAAGAACAAGAGUAGCAUGAUUGGUGCAUCGUCGCAACAACAAAAAGACCCUGAGCAGCAAUGGCAGAGCUCACAGAAGACUCUCUAACCCAUUCUUGAUUCUAUCCAACUAUAAAGCCACUCUUAAGAAAUUAAAGAGCAUGAGGCCUGUGUUGGGUGGUUGAGUUAUCUCUCCUUCACUUGGUUUUAUAUGUAGUGUCUUGGAUUCUAGGUUGUGACCUGGCCUUUUUAGAGUAAGGUUUCCAUUUCAUGAAAUACUCUCGUAUUAUCAAACUGUGUAUGCUACUGUAUCUAAACCCUUUUUUCAGUUAUGGGGAUGGAACUUGAUGUUCAAAGGUUCUUACAGCAGCAGUUCGACUUCCAGCAUUUUCCUAUUUCAUAUCUUCGCUUUGCAGCUCAUCGUGUUGCUAACCAGUAUGGACUAGCUACACCGGUUCAAGACAGUGCUGCUGUGGAUGGCAAUGAGAACAUAAUCCUUGUGACAAAUACAGCGGCUACACAAUCGGAAUAUCAGCACAUGAAAGUUUCCAUCAAGAGCCGACCUUCUAAAGUGUACCUGAGUGUUACAUGUCCAUAAUGUUGGCUACUGAGAUAUCAAUGCACGAGAUACGAAUCUGUCUUCGAUGUCUUUUAUAUACGUUGAUUCUUCCAAACUCGUGAGACGCGACAAAAAAAUGUAUUGACUUAAAUAGACAAAAAAUGUUACAGGUACUAUUAUAUAAUAACACUGCUUCCAACUGUUUUUUUCUGAGCAAUACACACAGGCAAGAUGAGAUUGACAAAACUCUCGUUUACGAACCAAUUUGGCGGCCAAGGAACAUCACAAUCGAUUUCAAUGGCGUCCUGAAAAACAAUAACACCAAUGCUUGUGACAAGUGCCAGGAAUACUAGUAGUCUAGUAUUGACAUUAGAUAAGGAUGCCAAAAGGGAAAGUAUCCGUAAGAGAGAUGAUACCGAGUGUCCAUGGAGUUGCAAGAUAAAUGAGUAACUUUCAAACUGCUAAUGUACUGAACAGAUUAGAUAUAGAGAUUGCUUACCAUAGAGGAAAUAACGGUCUUUGGUUUAUGAUUCCUUGCUGUUCAGCCUCCUCACUGUCUCUUUGUGGAUCUGUGUGGACAAGUCUUUGGAAUUUUUCAGACAGUGCUUUGUAAGACUGAAUGUCUGUUGGUUCCACUUGGCUGAUCGCUGCUUUUAAAUGCCGCAUGCUUAUUUCUUCUGCUUCAAGACUCUCCUGAUUGAUUAAAAACAACUUGAGACACCACCGCUGCUAACAAGAAGAGAAGAAGACGAAGAAGCUGGAGAAGAAGCUAACCUCGAGUGCGGCAAUAGCUGCUUCUCUACAUAUCAAUGAUAUGUCAGCUCCUGUGUACCCUUUGGUAACUGAAGCGAGCUCUUUUAGACAAAUAUCAGAGCUGCAAGGAAUUUUCCGCAGAUGGAUUUUGAGUAUUGCUUCACGAUCAGCUUCAUUUGGAGGUCCCACAUAUAGCAACCGGUCAAAGCGUCCUUCAACGUUAUAUAAACAUAUUCAAUGUCACAAAACGAACUUCCAUAAUUGUUUGAGAAAAUCAAAAACUAACCAGGUCUUAGAAGAGCAGAAUCGAUCUUGUCAGGCCGAUUUGUGGCAGCAAUAACAGUAACACCAACUCUUUGAUGCAGACCUGAGUUUUGAAAAUCAAGCAAUAAUAAUUUAAGCUUUUAGAACCUUUUAGCUAAAACAAUCCCAAAGGUUUGAUGUGAUGUUACUAACCAUCCAGCUCCACAAGAAGUUGGCUCAUCACUCUAUCUGAAACCGAAACCCCAUCAUUCUCUUUCCCCAGCUGAUAAACUUGUUGUCGAGUAGCCAACCUGAGAACUUCAUGAACCCAGUGAUUAGAGAGAGGAACUACAACACUUUGGAUUACAAGAAAGUGGCUACGAUCUGCGACAAGUUUAAGGAUUCUCCUGACGGGAUAUUCGGAAGUCUCGCAAAUAGAAACACGAAGCUUACGGCUAAGAAGAAGUCCAUGGACAUGCUCAAGAAGAGACUCAAGGAAUUUAACUGAUGCUAUAUAAGUAAGCAUUACUGCUGCACUAAUAAGACCAAACCUUCCCACUCACAUCAUCAUUAUCACCAUUUAGUUUCACUAUUCCCUUAAUUUGCCUGUUUCUGGUUAGCCUCUAGUUUGUUUUCUUUUGAUGUCUUCAUUAUGUUCUUUGACGAACCAUU